ACUUUUCAUUGGGCGGGAACACUGAAUGGCGGGGCUAAACCAGCCCUUCCACCGGUUGCCCAUCCCGGCGGAGGGGUCGGCCGGAUGGUGGAGGAGGGGAUGGACGGGUUCAAUGAUAAAUAUUUUCCAGGGGUGGGAUUCGAGGCUCGAACCCGGUCCUCCGGAAUGGAGAGCCGAAACGUUUGCAGGCGGCGAGAGCCGGGCGGGUUAUAAAAACUGCUUAUAUUUAACAGUUAUUCUACACUUUUUAGCAAAUGUUUAAUUAAAAUUUCGAUGGGAAUGCGUAUCAAUCUAUUAUAAAAUGUUAAAUUAUUAUAAAUUUAAUGUUUAACCGUUUUUAACAGAGGCGUCUGCUAUUAUGGGAAGAUCCAUAGCCCAUAAUACAGCGCCUAACUCCAUUUUUCUC
This 406-nucleotide long non-coding RNA is filed under the name Androctonus crassicauda. Lineage: Eukaryota; Metazoa; Arthropoda; Arachnida; Scorpiones; Buthidae. The record is from RNAcentral.